GCGGCAGUGAAGCACAGUGGUUAAGGAGCAGGACUUACAACCCAGUGGUUGGCUGUUCAAUUCCCCGCUGGGGCA
Megalops atlanticus (tarpon) is the source of this 75-nucleotide non-coding RNA. Lineage: Eukaryota; Metazoa; Chordata; Actinopteri; Elopiformes; Megalopidae. The record is from the annotation of a GenBank genome assembly.